CAAAGUAAAGCUUAUAAGUGAAGCAUCUCAUUUACAUUGAGAAGAUUUUGUGCAAUUCAAAUAUUUUGA
Molecule: transfer RNA, 69 nt
Filed under: Tarbinskiellus portentosus
Lineage: Eukaryota; Metazoa; Arthropoda; Insecta; Orthoptera; Gryllidae
Also listed under: 1 other name
Description: tRNA-Val
Rfam family: tRNA
About the family: Transfer RNA (tRNA) molecules are approximately 80 nucleotides in length. Their secondary structure includes four short double-helical elements and three loops (D, anti-codon, and T loops).
Source: RNAcentral